Molecule: ribosomal RNA, 465 nt
Filed under: uncultured bacterium
Lineage: Bacteria
Description: partial 16S ribosomal RNA
Rfam family: Bacterial small subunit ribosomal RNA
Source: RNAcentral
CCUACGAGAGACAGCAGUAGGGAAUCUUCGGCAAUGGACGAAAGUCUGACCGAGCAACGCCGCGUGAGGGAAGAAGGUUUUCGGAUCGUAAAACUCUGUUGUUAGAGAAGAACAAGGACGUUAGUAACUGAACGUCACCUGACGGUAUCUAACCAGAAAGGCACGGCUAACUACGUGCAGGCAGCCGCGGUAAUACGGAGGUGGCAAGGGUUGGCCGGAUUUAUUGGGUGUAAGGGGAGCGCAGGCGGGUUCUUAAGUCAGAUGUGAAAGCCCGCGGCUCAACCGGGGAAGGUCAUUUGAAACUGGGGAACUUGAGUGCUGGAGAGGCAGACGGAAUUCCUAGUGUAGCGGUGAAAUGCGUAGAUAUUAGGAGGAACACCAGUGGCGAAGGCGGUCUUCUGGACAGUAACUGACGGUGAGGCGCGAAAGCGUGGGGAGCAAACAGGAUUAGAUACCCCUGUAGUC